Long non-coding RNA from Heterocephalus glaber (naked mole-rat), 3222 nucleotides. The record is from Ensembl. Lineage: Eukaryota; Metazoa; Chordata; Mammalia; Rodentia; Bathyergidae.
CAGAUUUAAUAAAUAUGUUUAAUGAUACAAAGAAAAACAUUUUAUAAUUAUUCAAUUAAUACGUAGUAGAGAAAUGGAAGCCAUAAAAAAAGAGUCAAAUGAAGUCAGGAACUGUGACACAUACCGUAAUCCUAGCUACUGGGAAGGCUGAAGCAGGAGGAUUGCAAGUUUGAGGUCAGCUGGGGAAUUUAGUGAGACUGUCUCGGAAUUUUACUUUUUUGGCCACUGUGAGUCUGUUCACUAGCUCGGUUUCACUCUGCAGAGUGAACUUCUUUCCCACCUUCAAUAAAUGUACAUCUCCACUACGUUUUCCCUGUGUCUUGUCCAAGACACCAAGAACCUGGAAGGAAUUUCCCUGGGACCCACAUGUGGUAGCAUUUCUUGGUGAGCCAGCCCAGAGGCCCCAGAAGCCCCACAGGAAACACCCUGCGAUCCCAGCAACCUCAUCAUGAGGCUCCACCCUUCAAAGUGGAAAUAAAUGGACCCUGACUAUCUGAGAGAAAAAAACGCUCAUCUCCUAUUGCAGAACUGUUUGGUGCGGUAUGAACUCAGAAAUGGUGACAGAUGGGUACAGAAUUCAUCUAAAUCACAGCACUGUUCUUCAGCUAGAUCUAUUCUGCAAAAGGCAGGGACACUGGCGUGAAAUUCCUUGUGCUCAGGCUCUCAUGGCUCUUUAUCAGCAACUGCUUUCUGCGAAGGCCCAGGUGUGGCACUUGAAGAAGCCCAGAGAGGAGACUGAAGUCACUGAGGCCCCUUCUCAGCCCCCAUGUGUUUACAGAAGCAGCCACACCGGGAGUCUCCUUAGCCUAGGAAACCAGGCCACCCUCCCCAAGUGCCUCAGAAACCUCAGCUUCAGCCCCCCAGUCAGCUCUGAUCCAGGAAGGACACAGGCGGGGUGGAGUUUCCCACUCCUUCAACUCACAGUGCUCGGCCUCUUGGAGAGUCCCAAGGAGGGGUUCCGGCUCCAGGGCCCUUUUCCAGUACAGACACAAACAAGGCAAGGCACUCAGGCCGACUUCAGGAGACCCCGGAGGUUUGCAGAUGGGUUUCUGACUUUGACCCUUGCUCUGACCUCUCACACGGCGGAGACGUCCAGUUUGUCUCACCACUUGCUGUAGCCAUGAUGAAAAGCAGAGUCCUAGCAGAGGCCAGGAGAGAUACAGGUGAGCAAUUGCUGCUGAGAGAGUCACUGGAGAGGUUACUGUCCCUCUGACAGAGCCCAACGGGAUGACGGUACUCGGCUGAAGCAAGCAUGUAGUCUAAAAUGAUGACUGCUCUUACCGUGGGAGCAGAAAGAUGUGUUGAGAAACCUGUUAGACUGGGUGUGGUGGUGCACACCUGUAAUCCCAGCACUCAGGAGGCUGAAGCAGGAGGAUCACUGCAAGUUUGAAGUCAGCCUGGGCUACACAGUGAGUUCAAGGCCGGCCUGAGCUACAUAGAGGACCCUAUCUCAAAAAAGCAAAGGAAAACAAAACAACAACAAUCAAACAAGAAACCUGUUAAUUAUGAAAAAGUAAGGCAGGUUACACAGGGCAAAGAGGAAAAUCCAGCCAGAGAUUUUGUGCAAAGUACAAAACCUUCAGAUAGGUCCCAGACCCCUUUGACCUACUUGCUGGACACAGCCUUUUCUGUCUUCAACAAUCAGGACCUUGCCUAGUGUGAUGGCGCAUGCCUGUAAUCUCAGCACUGGGGAAGCUGAGGCAGGAGGACUGUGGUGAGUUCAAGGCCAGCCUGAACUACAUAGUGAGACCCUGUCUCAAAAAACUAAAAACAAAACAAACAAGACCUGGAGGAUAAAAAGGAGAGGAAUCCAGAAAAAAGGCAAGCUAAUCUGGCUGUCACGGUUGGUGGUGCUUUAAGCACAUCUGUUAUCCAAGGGAAAAUCCAGGCUAAAUCCGGGAAAGAGCUCCAGUUUUUUUAAAAUUGUACUGUAUUUAUUUGUUUUUUUUAAGAGUUAACUAUAUAUAUUUUAAUAUUACAAACCAUAUUUACAAAUGUCUGCACAAAACAAUUUUCCUUACAUUUUUGGUAAGAUGCAGCAAUGGGGAAUAUUUUAGUAUAUUUUACUUUCCAUUGCAAACAUGAAACCUUUGAAAAAAGAAUCGACAUUUCCAUAUGAACCUACAUCAUAAAGAAAAUACAUAAAUACUUUCUAAAUGUAGAUAAAUACACCAUCUGCUUUUUUGUGAAAGUCCUGGAAAUCACAUUUUUCUACGCAGAAUCAGAGUUUGAAAAAUAAUAAUCUUUCUCUUCUUCAUCUAAAGAUUCCAUAGCAUUAGUGAAAAGUUUUCCAAUACCAGAGUUUUCUCCUAAAUCUCUGUUAAACAGCGUUUUUCUUGUUGGGCUUGAGGAAACAGUUUCAACUCUUUUUUUUCUUAACGUUGCCCCAGGCAAUGCCAUCAAUACUCCUAUGAUUUUUUUGUAUACUAGAAACAUAUUUAUCAUAAUCAUUCCUUUUUAUAGAGGCUAGCAUGCCAGGGCUGACGUGCUGACACUGAGGACACUUUUGUGUUUUUGAGACAGGGUCUCCCUAUACAGUGCAUGUUGGCCUUGAACUCACUAUGUAGCUCAGGCUGGCCUUCAACUCCAAGUGAUCCUCCUGCCUCAGGCUCCCAAGUGCUGGGAGUACAGGUGUGCAGCACUACACUGGCAAGGAGCCUUUUUCUAUGUGGACCCAAAGGCCACAAGACUUCUACAGUAUAUAAUUAAUCCAAGCCAAGUACAAGUGCUCAUUAAAACAAAACUUGGAGGGCCACAGGUUUAGCUCAGUGGUUUCUCCUCCUGCCUCGCAAGGGCAAGGCAGGCGCCAGAACCACUGAGCUAAAUCCCCGGCCCCCAAGGUCCCGAGUUCGAUCCCCGGUACUGGAAAAAAACCCCAUAAAAAAAGAACCCCCACAGACCAAGUAGAACCACAACCGAGGCCUUUUCAGUGAGCCUUGGUACCCACUGAAGUAAAGGUGGCAGGAACCCGGGGUGCACUCACCUUUCAGGAUAAAGCCAGCCCCACCCGAACUGUCUGAGGCAAAGGACCACGCAAACGAAGGAAGUUACUCCUGUGGCCCUCUGGAAGAUCCGAGGCUCCUCGUCAAAUAGCAGGGCACCGGUUCUCAGGGUGGGGGAAGUGGAGUAAUGAAGACCCCCACCCACCGCAGCUUGGACGCGCACCUGUGCCAGGGCUCAGGCUUUUGACUGGACCCAUGGUGUGGGUGGUCUUGCUAGGCU